This 200-nucleotide ribosomal RNA is filed under the name uncultured archaeon. RNAcentral describes it as "partial 16S ribosomal RNA". It matches the Rfam family "Archaeal small subunit ribosomal RNA", at positions 554 to 753 of the family's 1478-position model. The record is from RNAcentral.
CCCGCCCAACGGGUGGGCGACCGGCGGAAACUGUUCGGCUUGGGGCCGGAGGACCCGAGGGGUACGUCCGGGGUAGGAGUGAAAUCCUGUAAUCCUGGACGGACCGCCGGUGGCGAAAGCGCCUCGGGAAGACGGACCCGACAGUGAGGGACGAAAGCUGGGAUCUCGAACCGGAUUAGAUACCCGGGUAGUCCCAGCCG